This 683-nucleotide ribosomal RNA is filed under the name uncultured bacterium. RNAcentral's name for it is "bacterial SSU rRNA". It matches the Rfam family "Bacterial small subunit ribosomal RNA", at positions 9 to 678 of the family's 1533-position model. The record is from RNAcentral.
GAGUUUGAUCCUGGCUCAGGAUGAACGCUGGCGGCGUGCUUAACACAUGCAAGUCGAACGGGGGUGCCAUUUUCGAGGUGAUUAGUUUACUAAGAGCCAAGAUGUUGGUAUCUUAGUGGCGGACGGGUGAGUAACGCGUGGGUAACCUGCCUUAUACAGGGGGAUAACACUUAGAAAUAGGUGCUAAUACCGCAUAAGCGCACGGGGCUGCAUGGCCCAGUGUGAAAAACUCCGGUGGUAUAAGAUGGACCCGCGUCUGAUUAGCUUGUUGGCGGGGUAACGGCCCACCAAGGCGACGAUCAGUAGCCGGCCUGAGAGGGUGGACGGCCACAUUGGGACUGAGACACGGCCCAAACUCCUACGGGAGGCAGCAGUGGGGAAUAUUGGACAAUGGGGGGAACCCUGAUCCAGCGACGCCGCGUGAGUGAAGAAGUAUUUCGGUAUGUAAAGCUCUAUCAGCAGGGAAGAAAGAAAUGACGGUACCUGACUAAGAAGCCCCGGCUAACUACGUGCCAGCAGCCGCGGUAAUACGUAGGGGGCAAGCGUUAUCUGGAUUUACUGGGUGUAAAGGGAGCGUAGACGGUUGUGCAAGUCUGAAGUGAAAGGCGGGGGCCCAACCCCCGGACUGCUUUGGAAACUGUAUAACUGGAGUGCAGGAGAGGUAAGUGGAAUUCCUAGUGUAG